Molecule: long non-coding RNA, 4560 nt
Filed under: Apis florea (little honeybee)
Lineage: Eukaryota; Metazoa; Arthropoda; Insecta; Hymenoptera; Apidae
Description: uncharacterized LOC116415312, transcript variant X1
Source: RNAcentral
AAAAAUCACUAAAUAAUAAUAAGACAUUUAUAAUAUUAAUAAAAACAUUUCAAUCUAGCUAAUAUUAUAGAGACAAUAUUUUGUAAUUAAUGCUUUUUAAUUGUUGCAUUGAUCGAUUACUUACAUAUUUUAAAUAUUACAUAGUUUUAUAUUUGUUAAAAUUGUAAUAAAAUUUUCGCGACACAUUGGUUGGGAAUCACUGCUGUAAUCUAUAUUUAAAACGUAAUAGUUUUGAACACGUAGGAAAUUGAACAAAAUACUUAUCAUUAAAUAUUAUUAAUACAUAGUGGAAAAAAAAUUAUAUUAUUUCCAUUUUAAAACAAAAAUAAAAAAUAUUCUUUUUAUAAUUAAAAAUAUAUAUCCACUUUUAAAUCAGAUCGAUAAAAAAGUGUAUAAUAUAUUCUUUGAUGCCAUAGAAUUUUAAUAAUUCAUUUUUGUAUGUUAUCAGAUAAGAAAGAUCGAAAAUCAUUGCUGUAUAAGAAGAUUGACGAAAGAAAUCGUCAAUCUUCUCGAAUUUCCUACCGUCAAUAUCUCAACAUCGAUACGGCGCAUUAGCUCGAUUAUUCAAGCCACGCCAGGCGCCACGUCGAGUCGCCAGUAGCGACUUCUGAAUGCAUCUGUAGCCGAUCGAAACAAAAAUCGAGAAGGGUCCUCUUGCCCGUGAUCCGCCCGAAGAAAAAGAACAAUAAAGAGGUCACGAUCCCGACAGGUACGAAACGAAUAGGUAUCCCUUUUGGCCGAGUACCAUGACACGUCGAAUUUAGGGGCAUAGCUAUUCCUAUGUUGAUCCUUUUUUAAGUCCUCCCUGCGAUGGACAUUCCCCCGCUAAACCGAAAAGAACAAAGUCCUACAUAUCUUCGAGAAGUAGGCGCAUGUUAUCGCCACUUGCAUUAACGCGUUGGCGCGAAUGGACGCUUGCAAGCUGAAUCAACAGACUACACGAGUUGACUAAUUCCUUUCCACAAGGUAAAAUUUCAGCGUAGUGAGGAACACGCGCUUGCACCGUGGGUGGGCGCCCUCUCGUGUUCGUGCUUCGAAAUCUUGUUGAAUCAAGGUUUUCGUGAUUAUGUUCGAAAAAAUGUGAUAUGUUCGGAACCGUAAUAAUCAUCAUCAUAAAUUAAUCGAAAUUCGAUCGAUCGAUAAUCGUCUAUUUGAUUUUUAUAGAUUAUCUUGAUAAAAAUUAGUGAAAUUAUUUGCAGUAAAUUAAUUGCAGAAGGAUCGGUUGAACACUAUUUAAUUGAAAAAUAUGCAAAAAAAAAAUCAUGUAAAAUAUGAUCUAUAUGAUUCGAAGAUAUCGAAGAAAUAGAAAAAAUUUCUCAAGAAGAGAUCCUAUCGAUGGACAAAUAAUCAGAAUCCCCGCCAUCGUUUUCGUAAAUACAGUGAGGUGUGCUGUUAUUAGGUUAGGUUUCUGACGUCAAGUGUGGGAUUAUCUUAAUAAAGGAAAAAUUUCGAAUUACGCAAGUGAAUGGAGACUACCAAUCGUGACGGUUACUCUGACGAUUUGCGAUACAGAAAAUAGAUAACGAAGAAAUAAUCGCAUUCGAUGCACUUGCCCAAAAAUUGAAUCUCUCUUGGAUACAUUCAAGACAAAAUAAUUUGAAUGAUCUUCAUUUCGCGUGAAGUGAGUCGUCCUUGAAUUCUUUGUAUUCCUAUAGCAUUUGGUCAUUAUAAAACUUUUGCGUGCAACUGAAAAGAUCAACGAGCUGUCAAUAAUCAUCACGCGUUUUAUCUUCGCUCAAAUUGUCGUGUCUGGCAGAUGCAUGCAAUUUCUUCAAAUUACAUUCAUUAAUUGCAACAUUCCGACUGUCUUUGAACAUAUGAAAAAGAUGGUAUUUCUUCUGGACAUAGAACAGAUGCACACCAACCAACCGUGAACGUUACGAUAAAUGGUCUAUUCUUUGUGAAAUGAAAAAUCAAACGGGACUUAUUCUCCAGGCUCACGACCUUUCGCGAACAAAACUAAAAAAAUAGACGAGAUUCGUGAUCUUUCGAAAGAAGAUGAAUAUUAUGUUCCAUGAAAAACUUUUCAUGAUUUUCUUUAAAAAUAAUUUUUUGAUUAAUUUUAAUUUUUAUUAUAUUUCCAAGAUUGGUGCAUGUGUACUUCUUAAUCAAAAAUCAAAAGAUUUUUCGCAAUAAUUCAAGAUUCAUUCAAGAUUAUCGACAUUUCCACAUGAGAUUACUAAUUGGAUAACAAUCUAAUCUUGAAUCAUAGGUCAGAAUUUGUUUUUUUCAUGCGUGUCAAUAAAUAAGCUUCAAGAUUCACCUGUUAUUAUCAAAGCCAGUGUUUCUCAAUCAUUUUCUCGGUUUUUCCAUUAGCUUAGCCAUCUGUAUUCCUAUAUGGAAAUAUAUCAAGAAUAUAAAUCAAGAAUCGACGUGUUUUUCUUUUUUCAAGAAUCACAUGAUCGUUUCGUUUCAUGAAUUAUUCCCGUUUAACCUUUCUUAUGACGCAAGAAGCCAUAUUGUACGCGUACAUGAUGGAAACGAUUCUCGAGGAGAGAUUAAGGAACGAUCACAGAAACAUUAGAGGAUUGGCAUAAUAAGGAGACAAAGAAUGGUGCACGAUAUCCUGGUGGCGACACAACAGAUGCCAGACGGAAGAUAGACAUUGAAGAAAAAAAAAGAAAGAAAAAAAAAAUUAAGGAUUUCCCGGGGAACACAGGCUGCUAUUGUCUCCUGAUCUUAACUCGAAAAUGAUCGGUACCUGAUCCCAACUUCCAACCAAUCAUAUCGUCAAGAUCUUUCUUUGGUUACUCAGUCGAUGUUUUAGAUCGAUUAUCGCUUAUCCAAUUAUCCAUUACGUUGAUUUAUCUUCCAAGUAAUUCAAAUAUUCGACAUUCCAUGGGAUUGAUCACUGGUGACGGAGCAGAAGGAGACGAGCAUCGAAGUUCACGGACCUCCAAGCAAGAAUUUACACGGCACCCGUGUGCGUUUGCGGCGUUUCGACUUGCACCGAGGCAAUGAAACACAGCAUAUAUAGAACGCGUGGCACUUUGCGUGUGGCUGCCACUACAGAAAUACCCUGUGAACAGAGCAGGGUGCAGGGUAUCGGUCCUCUCGCGAGAGGACCGAGUAUAGGGUCUUCGUAGUCGGCCUCGCAGCGGGGGUUGAAAUUCCCUGGUGGCUCGCCUCGCGGUACCGCGUCGUCUAACGUAGACGUCCUCGGCGCACAUUUUUAUUCGAUCGCGCUGUUGGGGGCUACCAGCCAGCCGUGGUUCUCCUCUUUUUUCCACCGAUACCCGCGCGAGCCUCGAGUGCCGUGAGAGAGGAAGACCGUGGCCUCUUGUCUCUCUGCGAAAACCCACGUGAAUUCCGUGAAACCCCCGCGGUUACCUUCGAUGACCCUCCAAAACUGCUUCGAUCGCCAACUUUUGCACGUAAGUGCUUCCUAAGCCGACGAUUCUUUCCCACAAUUCUCACGAGGAGUGACCAAUCUCGAGUCGACGAAACCAGUCGACAACCUUUGUCUCACGGGGCAAGAGAGCCAAUUGGACCACCUAAUUCGAGUGCAACCACCGGGAUCCGUCUACUUAUUAAGCAAACUGGAACAACCCAUCGUCGACGGUUUCGUCUGAAUGGCGAAAGACGACCCUCUUUCUCGGAUUAUUCCUCCGAGCUUUUCUCAAACGCAAGAGGGAGGGCGUUCCCGGCGUCUCGGUCAGGUAGUCGAACCAAUUAGAAUAAUUGUCGUCCCUCGAACGAUCUGGUUGCUCGAGGAUCGCGUCACUCGCACGGAAUCCUCGAAAUCGAAUGGCCGUGGUGUGGUGACCUUGCGGGGUAACACGAGAGCGGCGACGAGGACGCCGCUGGGGAUGAACGACGUAUCCUUCGGUGAUUUAUCACGUUUCAGGAUGGAAUAUUAAUAUCGGUAUGGCGUGCGCCUCCGCUCCUUUUCCAGGCAUCACGAUCGUCCACGGCCGAGAGAGUCACACGAACGAUCGUGUACGUGUGCACACGUCUCUCUGGAUCACGAUGCGCGUGCGCGCGCACACAUAUAUAAACCCAUAGGUAUUACGAACGGGACAGAGGAUAGCUACCGGUCACAGCAGGAGAGCACGCCGGGGGUCCUCUACCUCUCCGCCGACUUGAACCUCGCUACCGAGAAAGAAGCGAACUUUCGUUUUAUCCUCUCUUUUCUUUUUCCUCUCCAGCCUCGCCGGCCUCUUCCUCCUCCGCGGUUAUCCUUUGUUCAUCUUCUUCCAUUGCGGCUUCUUCCUCGUCCCGCUUCGUGCUUCUUCGGCUCCCUUCGUGGCGACGUGACGGCGCUACUGUCUGCUGAUUCGUCGAGCUCGCGCGGUCACGUGACCACUUUAUAAGGAACGCGGCGCCGCUCACCGCUUCACUCGCCCGCUGCGCUCCCUUUCGCGAGGUUCUUCCGUGCCGUUCUCUUCUACGUUUGCAUUCAAUGUUAUUAGAUAUUGUAGCUAUUAUUAGAUGUUAAGGUAUGCCAAUUCUUCGUGUUUUUGAAAUAAUUUCGUUCUAAUUUUUUUUUUCUUUUUAAUUUAAACGAUCAAUUUAAUUGAUCUAUUUCUAUUAGAAGAGAAGAAAUUUUAUUUUGAAGAA